Molecule: ribosomal RNA, 305 nt
Filed under: uncultured bacterium
Lineage: Bacteria
Description: bacterial SSU rRNA
Rfam family: Bacterial small subunit ribosomal RNA
Source: RNAcentral
GAGCCUACGGGAGGCAGCAGUGGGGAAUAUUGCGCAAUGGGGGAAACCCUGACGCAGCAACGCCGCGUGAGUGAAGACGUAUCUCGGUAUGUAAAGCUCUAUCAGCGGGGAAGAAGGAAGACGGUACCCGACUAAGAAGCCCCGGCUAACUACGUGCCAGCAGCCGCGGUAAUACGUAGGGGGCGAGCGCUAUCCGGAUUUAUUGGGUUUAAAGGGUGCGUAGGCGGUCCGUUAAGUCAGCGGUAAAAUUGCGGGGCUCAACCCCGUCGAGCCGUUGAAACUGGCAGACUUGAGUUGGCGAGAAG